GACGAACCGUGCGAACGUUGUUCGGAAUCACUGGGCUUAAAGGGCGCGUAGGCGGGCCAGCAAGUCAGGGGUGAAAUCCCACGGCUCAACCGUGGAAGGGCCUUUGAUACUGCGGGCCUCGAGGGAGGUAGGGGCGUGCGGAACUUCCGGUGGAGCGGUGAAAUGCGUAGAUAUCGGAAGGAACACCGGUGGCGAAAGCGGCGCGCUGGACCUCUUCUGACGCUGAGGCGCGAAAGCCAGGGGAGCGAACGGG
RNAcentral lists this ribosomal RNA (253 nucleotides) under uncultured bacterium. RNAcentral describes it as "partial 16S ribosomal RNA". It matches the Rfam family "Bacterial small subunit ribosomal RNA", at positions 524 to 776 of the family's 1533-position model. The record is from RNAcentral.